This 497-nucleotide ribosomal RNA is filed under the name uncultured bacterium. RNAcentral describes it as "bacterial SSU rRNA". It matches the Rfam family "Bacterial small subunit ribosomal RNA", at positions 43 to 527 of the family's 1533-position model. The record is from RNAcentral.
CAGGCCUAACACAUGCAAGUCGAGCGGCAGCGGGAAGAUAGCUUGCUAUCUUUGCCGGCGAGCGGCGGACGGGUGAGUAAUGCCUAGGGAUCUGCCCAGUCGAGGGGGAUAACAGUUGGAAACGACUGCUAAUACCGCAUACGCCCUACGGGGGAAAGGAGGGGACCUUCGGGCCUUCCGCGAUUGGAUGAACCUAGGUGGGAUUAGCUAGUUGGUGAGGUAAUGGCUCACCAAGGCGACGAUCCCUAGCUGUUCUGAGAGGAUGAUCAGCCACACUGGGACUGAGACACGGCCCAGACUCCUACGGGAGGCAGCAGUGGGGAAUAUUGCACAAUGGGCGAAAGCCUGAUGCAGCCAUGCCGCGUGUGUGAAGAAGGCCUUCGGGUUGUAAAGCACUUUCAGUAGGGAGGAAAGGUAGUAACUUAAUACGUUAUUGCUGUGACGUUACCUACAGAAGAAGGACCGGCUAACUCCGUGCCAGCAGCCGCGGUAAUACG